CCAAUUAAUUUCCAACUGUGGUAUAUCUGUGACCUGAUGAUGUGGGGCUCUUUUUAAGUCGAGGCCUGUUUCAGUCUAACCAACUGGAAUUCACAUGAUGCAGGGUGCAUAAAUAUUAAUUUGUUGUUUAUUGCCAGGUCUCUAGAAUGUUUCUUAGUUUACAGAAAUGUUUUGUAAGUUGACAUCUCUGUGGGAGGAAGUUCUGAUGUUCGUUUUCCUGCUUGCGAGUGUUCAUAAAAGUGCAAGUUGUGGUGACCCAAAUUAACCUGCAUCAGACUCACAAGAGUGAAGUGUGUCGAUAACCCUUCUGCUGGCUACAAUGCUGCUUUAUCAAGUCACCUGCCAAAUACCUCGCAAUUCAAUCUGCCCUUUUCUCACAUCAUCACAAACUGUUGUCCACAUAGAAAAAAUCAAAAGUUACACGGUUCAAAAAGUAGGCCUCUGCCCUAUUGAUACCAUUCAGUGAGUUCUCUUUUUUCUUAUGGAAGUAUACUGUGAUAGACCUCAGACAACUAUUAAACUAUAUUUAAUGAUAAAUCUGAACUAUAUGUCAGAAUGCCAGUUCUUCUGGCCUUAGUGUAUUUUGUUGCAUUGUCAUGUUAAGUUGUUAGUUUUAUGUAUUUACAGAUUUAUAACAGUUAGUAGUCAUUCCUUUUUCUCAAAUCCACAAAAACUUUGGGUGAAAAAAGCCAUGCAUUUUGUGGAUGAGAUGGAGGCAUUUGAAAAGACAGCAUGCUUCAUAAACUCCACAUCAACAUUUAAAACAGGAUCAACACUGAAUACAACAUCAGACUGGAAUGGACAGGAUGAACUAAGAACUACUUCACCUGAACUAUUUCAAUUUGCUAACACAAGUCUGUCUGACUGUCAUACCAUAUUGAUGCCAUUGAAUUUAAAACAGCUAACAGUUAAAUUUUUUGCUAUAAACCACAAAAACUUUGGGUGAAAAGAGCCAUGCAAUUUGUGUACAAAAAGGCAAAUGAAACGACAUGAACUCCACAUCAGCAUUUAAAACAGCAUCAGUGCAAAAUACAACAUCACACUGGAAUGGGCAGGAUGAACUAAGAAGUGUUUCACUUGUUAAAAUUUGUCUGCAUUUGUAAUCAUUUAUUUGCCACUGGUCAAUUUACAGUAUAUUGCAUAAAUGUAUAUAUCUUUUCACUGUUUAUUGUGUGGGUUUGCCCAUUUUUACUGCUUCCAAAACAUGAAAUUGUGGCUAAUUAGUAUAAUGUUACAAUGCUUUGUCAAUGCAAAGCCUUCUUUUUAUGCCAAUUAACUAUUUUAGUUUGCAAAAAACAAAGAAAUAAUAACAACAACAACAACAAAACAUUGAAUUUGAGUCUAAAAGUCAACUAAUAUCAACUUCUUGUUUAUUAAAAUUGUACACAAUUGAUAUUACACUUGCAAUCAUGCUGAUAUUCUGGAAAAAACAGCACCCUCGCUUAUGUGAUAUUGUGUAACUAUAUUGUAUGUUAUAAAUAAAGAUAACAAAAACUCAUACAUUGUCAUGUUGAUCCCCUUUCUUGAAUUUUAAGGAUGUUUUUAAUAAUUUUGGUGCUAUUUCCCUACCAUUAAUUUCUGACCCUGGUGUGUGUGUGGCGUGAUGAUGUUAUUUAAGUAAAAUGGGUGAAACAUAGUGCAGCUAUGUAAAUAUAUCUAUAAAUCUAACCCAGGGCAUUCGCAUGAUGCAAAGUGCAGAAAUGGUGAUUAUUAUCAAUUGUUGUUUAUUGCCAGGUUUAUAGAAUGUUUCUUUAUUUAACAUACAGGAAGGUUUUGUAAAGGUCACAUCUGUGGAAGGAAGUUCUGAUGUUCUUUUUCCUACUUGUGAGUGUUCAUAAAAGUACAGGUUGUGGUGAGUCAAAUUAAUGCAUAUCAGACUUACAAGAGAAGAUGAGCUGUGUGUUGAAAACCCUUCUGCUGUGCCUGGCUAUAAUACUACUUGCAAA
Long non-coding RNA from Onychostoma macrolepis, 1946 nucleotides. RefSeq lists it as uncharacterized. The record is from RefSeq and is a predicted model, not a curated record. NCBI's taxonomy places the organism in Eukaryota, Metazoa, Chordata, Actinopteri, Cypriniformes, Cyprinidae. The transcript has 3 exons.